UGAGUAACGCGUAGGAAUCUACCCAGUAGCGGGGGAUAGCCCGGGGAAACUCGGAUUAAUACCGCAUACGCCCUAUGGGGGAAAGAUGGCCUCUUCUUGAAAGCUAUCGCUAUUGGAGGAGCCUGCGUUGGAUUAGCUAGUUGGUGGGGUAAAGGCCUACCAAGGCGACGAUCCAUAGCUGGUCUGAGAGGACGAUCAGCCACACUGGGACUGAGACACGGCCCAGACUCCUACGGGAGGCAGCAGUCGGGAAUAUUGGACAAUGGGCGCAAGCCUGAUCCAGCCAUGCCGCGUGUGUGAAGAAGGCCUUAGGGUUGUAAAGCACUUUCAGAAGUGAAGAAAGGCGUUGGGUGAAUAAUCUGACGUUUUGACGUUAGCUUCAGAAGAAGCACCGGCUAACUCCGUGCCAGCAGCCGCGGUAUACGGAGGGUGCGAACGUUAAUCGGAAUUACUGGGCGUAAAGCGCGCGUAGGCGGCUUGUUAAGUCAGAUGUGAAAGCCCCGGGCUCAACCUGGGAAUUGCAUUUGAAACUGGCAAGCUAGAGUGCAGUAGAGGGAGGUGGAAUUCCAGGUGUAGCGGUGAAAUG
This 586-nucleotide ribosomal RNA is filed under the name proteobacterium MS-F-84. Its description in RNAcentral is "bacterial SSU rRNA". It matches the Rfam family "Bacterial small subunit ribosomal RNA", at positions 107 to 688 of the family's 1533-position model. The record is from RNAcentral. Lineage: Bacteria; Pseudomonadati; Pseudomonadota.